This 1334-nucleotide ribosomal RNA is filed under the name Staphylococcus aureus. RNAcentral's name for it is "partial 23S ribosomal RNA". It matches the Rfam family "Bacterial large subunit ribosomal RNA", at positions 1487 to 2818 of the family's 2925-position model. The record is from RNAcentral. Lineage: Bacteria; Bacillati; Bacillota; Bacilli; Caryophanales; Staphylococcaceae.
CGAAGCGUGCGAUUGGAUUGCACGUCUAAGCAGUAAGGCUGAGUAUUAGGCAAAUCCGGUACUCGUUAAGGCUGAGCUGUGAUGGGGAGAAGACAUUGUGUCUUCGAGUCGUUGAUUUCACACUGCCGAGAAAAGCCUCUAGAUAGAAAAUAGGUGCCCGUACCGCAAACCGACACAGGUAGUCAAGAUGAGAAUUCUAAGGUGAGCGAGCGAACUCUCGUUAAGGAACUCGGCAAAAUGACCCCGUAACUUCGGGAGAAGGGGUGCUCUUUAGGGUUAACGCCCAGAAGAGCCGCAGUGAAUAGGCCCAAGCGACUGUUUAUCAAAAACACAGGUCUCUGCUAAACCGUAAGGUGAUGUAUAGGGGCUGACGCCUGCCCGGUGCUGGAAGGUUAAGAGGAGUGGUUAGCUUCUGCGAAGCUACGAAUCGAAGCCCCAGUAAACGGCGGCCGUAACUAUAACGGUCCUAAGGUAGCGAAAUUCCUUGUCGGGUAAGUUCCGACCCGCACGAAAGGCGUAACGAUUUGGGCACUGUCUCAACGAGAGACUCGGUGAAAUCAUAGUACCUGUGAAGAUGCAGGUUACCCGCGACAGGACGGAAAGACCCCGUGGAGCUUUACUGUAGCCUGAUAUUGAAAUUCGGCACAGCUUGUACAGGAUAGGUAGGAGCCUUUGAAACGUGAGCGCUAGCUUACGUGGAGGCGCUGGUGGGAUACUACCCUAGCUGUGUUGGCUUUCUAACCCGCACCACUUAUCGUGGUGGGAGACAGUGUCAGGCGGGCAGUUUGACUGGGGCGGUCGCCUCCUAAAAGGUAACGGAGGCGCUCAAAGGUUCCCUCAGAAUGGUUGGAAAUCAUUCAUAGAGUGUAAAGGCAUAAGGGAGCUUGACUGCGAGACCUACAAGUCGAGCAGGGUCGAAAGACGGACUUAGUGAUCCGGUGGUUCCGCAUGGAAGGGCCAUCGCUCAACGGAUAAAAGCUACCCCGGGGAUAACAGGCUUAUCUCCCCCAAGAGUUCACAUCGACGGGGAGGUUUGGCACCUCGAUGUCGGCUCAUCGCAUCCUGGGGCUGUAGUCGGUCCCAAGGGUUGGGCUGUUCGCCCAUUAAAGCGGUACGCGAGCUGGGUUCAGAACGUCGUGAGACAGUUCGGUCCCUAUCCGUCGUGGGCGUAGGAAAUUUGAGAGGAGCUGUCCUUAGUACGAGAGGACCGGGAUGGACAUACCUCUGGUGUACCAGUUGUCGUGCCAACGGCAUAGCUGGGUAGCUAUGUGUGGACGGGAUAAGUGCUGAAAGCAUCUAAGCAUGAAGCCCCCCUCAAGAUGAGAUUUCCCAAC